Poeciliopsis prolifica (blackstripe livebearer) is the source of this 4917-nucleotide RNA transcript. It is a transcript of the gene named fibronectin type III domain containing 5a, with no coding region annotated. The record is from RefSeq and is a predicted model, not a curated record. The transcript has 6 exons. NCBI's taxonomy places the organism in Eukaryota, Metazoa, Chordata, Actinopteri, Cyprinodontiformes, Poeciliidae.
UUUUGUUUUUUUGUUUUUUACCUAAACGUUUUUAUUUCGUCGUGCGCGGCUGCAUCUCUAAGCGGUAGGAACCUCUCACACACAAAGCCAGCGCGUUUCAGUCUGCAGAUGCUGGAGGAGGGAUCUGACUGGUGCACAUUUUUUUUGGACGCAUGUGAAACGGCGCAGUCCGUGAUGAUGAAGAUGAUGCUGGCCGCAGCUCUGCAGACAACCGCGGCAGCUGAGUGAGCCGUGAGGUUGCUGUCCAGGGUGCUGAGGAGUCGCCGCCAUCCCCCCUCCCCUCCCCUCCCGUCCUGCCCGUUCAGACUGCACGCGUGAACAGACGUGGAUGCCGAGCAGCGUAACACGGCCCGAGUAAAUAAAUGGGACCGCACGUCGUCCGAGCGUUUGAGAGAUCAUGGAGAGAUUUUUCCUGCUCGUCCUCAGCGGCUGCCUCGGCGUCUCUCGAGUCACGGCGGAUAGCCUGUCGCCUCCCGUCAAUGUGACCAUCAAAGAGGUGAAAGCAAACUCUGCUGUGGUGUCAUGGGACAUCCCCGAGGGAGACCCCGUCAUUGGCUUCGCCAUCACACAGCAGAAGAAAGAUGUGCGCAUGCUGCGGUUCAUCCAGGAAGUCAACACCACCACGCGCUCCUGUGCAUUAUGGGACUUGGAAGAGGAGACAGACUACAUUGUGCACGUCCAGUCCGUCAGCAUGUCCGGGACGAGCCCGCUGAGCGAACCGCUGCGCUUCCGAACCCCAAAGGAGGCCGAGACACAGGCCUCUAAGAACGAAGUGACCAUGGAGGAGGUGGGUCAGGCGACUCAGCUGAGGGCUGGAGAGCUCAUCAUCAUCGUGGUCGUACUCAUCAUGUGGGCAGGUGUGAUUGCCCUCUUCUGUCGUCAAUAUGACAUAAUCAAAGACAACGAGCCCAACAACAACAAGGACAAAGCCAAAAACUCCUCGGAGUGCAGUACUCCUGAACACCCGACGGGGGGGCUGCUGCGCAGUAAGGUAUAACCCACCCCUCUGCUCCUUCUCCUCUCCCUGGGUGCCUCCCCUCUCAGCGACGCUGGCCAGUUCCCCAAGAACAACAACAACAGGUUGCCAUCUGUCAACAUCAUUGAGGUGUGAUGAGUCUUUUUCUUUACUCGGAAGACUUCAUGCAAACAACAAGCCCCCCUUAGGUCUAUCAGCUGUCAGGAUGACGCUGGGACAGAGGGACUCUGGGCAUGCAGGCGCCGCUUUCUCUUCUUAAACACCGGUUCUGGUGUGGAGGUGAAGCUGCAGGGACUCCAGAGGACGUGGCAGAAUGAGGCUGAGUUUGGCCUCAUUUCCUAGCAGAGCAGAAAGACUGCAGGAAGAGUUCAGCAGCAGGUCUGUGCUCAGUGACAGUACAUUGGGGUCACGGUUAUUAGUGUUGUGGAGAGACUGCAGACGAACCAACCCCAGGGACCAAGGCUGAUCAAACAGAGCCAGAAACUGUUACAGGAAGAAUUUGUACUUAACUUUUCUGGGUGGUACUUUAAGCUUCUUUUAACGCUUAUUUCCUCAUGGGCUUACACAGUACAUUUGAUGUUUUGGUAUCUGUUUGGGCUUUUUCAGUAACUCCCCAAGUGCAGAGACUCUUUGCUGUUCUGGUACAUUUGUAUUCCCCCCUCAGGGAAUCCAGACUCCACCCGGGUAACAAAAGAGCCAUUUCCAGUACAGGCUGCAAUGUCACCAGAGCAGCUUUAGAGGGAUCAGUCGGCUAAAAUCAUUCACUGUCAUUAACUCAUACAUAUGGCAUAAUUCUUCAAGUCUGGCCUGUAAUUUCUCUCGUCUUUUUUUAUUAUAGACUUCUAAAAUGUAACAUUCCUCUCCCUCAACGAGCCCUUUAGUACCUCCUGGUGUCUUUCUUUUUGAGCGUGAUGGAUUUCACGUCAUUUUGGUGAGCAGCAGAACUCCCCUAAUGGAGUUCAUUCAUCUAAUUAAUUAACUAUAAAUGGGGCUGGACUCUACGGACGUCUGAGGAGAAGAGAUCCCUUCAAUCAGCAAUAACAGCCCCUCAGAGGAAACGAAGGAAGUCAUGACUUGAACUCUGGAUCCUCUGACAAAGGAAAACUGUCAGCAUGUCAUGGAUGAACAAACUGGAUGUUCAAGUAUGCUGGAACAACCCUUGGGUAUCAUUUUUAAGAGAUCCUCAAAAAAGCCUUUUCAGCUCUGUUGAAAAAAAUAAAUAAAUAAAAAUAUUUCUCUUGGCAAGCAUGGAAAAAAAAAAUAUUUUUUAAAUCGGGCCCAACUGGGGAACCCUGAGACUUCUUUACGGCGUCCUGAGCAGAUGUCGAGACAGAAGGGCUUCUUUCAAGACUUUUUGAAUUAUUAUUUCAAACGUGCUUAAAGUCCAUGGUGAUGAGAAUAGCUAUUGUGGUAAGUGCAUACAUGAUGUUUUUGAGGGCUGAUUUACACUGAGUAGUACUGCCUUAACAAUAAUUGUAUCCCAUAACUUAUAAGAUGUUUGGCUUUGUAUCUCACUGUUGUGGCAUUAUAUUUAUCUUUCACCCAGCAUUUAAAUGUUCGUGCAAAAGUGAAGGGAAAAAUAACAUGUGGUUUGGAGGAAUUGGCAAGUAUCUGAUAUGUAAAUACAUUUUAAACGUCUUAUUUAGAACAGUCAGUCUGGAGAGGUUUGUGGAAUAAGGUUGAUGUAAAUGUCUGAAUUUGUAGGGAAGCUAUAGGAGAUCACAUUUUUGUCAAAACUGUUUAGUUUUAUGAAAAGUAUUGUUAAAAAAGACUUCAACUAUUCUUAAGAAUUUUUAUUAUGUCAUAAUGCCUUUUAUGUUCAAAAGGAGGAGUUGGUAUGAGCAAGUACUGAAAAAGAAAAUCCUCUGGCUUGUAGAAAUCAGAAAAUGGGUUGCAAAUAGCGCAAAACAUGACAAAACGCCAUCGCCCCUUCAGUCUGGAGCACAAAGAGAAAGGAGGAGGAAAAUGGAGAUCAGUGAAGGUGACACUGGAGUAGAGUGGACAGAACGAUGACUAAUUUAAUGGCAGGCUUUUAUCGCCAUUAUCUGGCUCUCACUCUUUGGCACAGCUCUGAGGAAAAAAAAGGAGAAAGAGUUUAAGACCGUGCUCCUCCAGUGAGCAGAGGCCAAUAUCAGAGUGUGAUUUUAAAGUCAGGCUCGUUGGGACUUUCCAUCUAAUUAAACUCAUUUCGCGUUUCCCAAACUUCUCAGUGCUCUGCAGCCGCAUCAGCACUUCACAGCAAACUUAACACGACUCAGUAACAGACACUCGGAUGUUUACUUUGACUUAUUUUCCAGCAUUAUUUAUUAUUAUGACCAAUAUACCACAACUACUUACAGAAAGUCUCAACUGUUUUAAAGGAGCACAUUUUAUAUAAAUGCGGUGAACUGCAGUGUAUAUCUCAACCUUUUGUGUAAAUAUUCAAAUUUUAUUGACUGAAUUUGACGAAUGUUGUAAGAAAUGCUUUUUCGAAAUUGUCCAACUUUUUUUUAAGACGAAACUGUUACACCAUCCUAUUUUUUAAGACAAACUUCCUUAAAUAUAGAAAAAUAAAAUCCAUUUAAUUUUCUGUCAAUCCUGAUGAAUCAUCAUGACUUAAUUCAAAACAUUUUUUUCUUUCUUCAUGUUCAGAUGCAUUUUUCCAGACUCAAGACUAAAGUUAUUCACUUUUACGCCAGUGGACAAACUAUAUUGAAGAGGAAAUGACAAAAGAUGGAAACAAGGGCAAAUUUAUUUAUGGUGGGGAAAAUGGGUUCUACUGAACUUUGAAUGCCGGUUGUAAGUCUUUAUUUACAAAUAUUUUUCAAUUUUACUUUAAAUUUUUCUUGUUGAACCUGGGAUAUUCCUCAAAUAAAUUUCAAAAUGAAUGGAUUCAAAAUGAAAUUUUCAUAAAGUCAAUUUGUAAAGUCGAACCACUAAUGUUCCCUCAUGAGUUUAAGCAGUGUCUAGAAACAUGAAAUUAAUAGAAAUGGGAAAACAGACGGACUGGGGGGUGAAAGCAACUUUUAAAGGAGAUGGGGAAUGGUCGGAAAAUCCAGACUUUUCUACACUCUGGAAAAUCCAGACUUGCAUUUCUACAAUUUUCAGCACUUUUAUCCUAAAUUUAAGGCACAAAUGCAAAGGUUCAUGACGAGUUUAAUGGCAAGUAUUUCUUCAGCAAGGAAGAUUUAACUUUAAAACGAGCAAAAAAAGACAAAAGGUGAGAGGACAAAUUGUGGAGAAAUGCAUGAAUAGGCAGACAAGACUAUACAUUAAAUCUUAAAAUGACAAAGUUUCCAGAUGGUGGAGGAAACUUUCUGAAAUGAAUCAUGGAAACAUACAAAGAAACAUCCCGACUCAGAGGGGCAAUGGGUUGGCAAAAAUAAUUCUGUCAUUAACGUUAUGAGUCCCGUUCGGGGCUUUUCUUUCCCUAAUGGUAACUUUUCACCAUUGUUAGCAUGCCUGUUUGAAACGUACUAUAUUAGACACAAUGCUUGUGAACUGACACUACUAAAUUUGGAUGUCAGCUUUGACCCACUGAUCUUACUAACCUGGAAAUUUAAGGCAAAAAACCCCCACAUAAUUCUAGUUGAAUCAAACUAUUUUACCGCUUUACUGAUUUGUUUUCAUUUGUGGGCCGCCCCAUAAUUAACUCAAAAGAUCUUCCAUUUUCAAGCAGAUUGUGAGUAUGUCAAGAAGUUAUAGCGCACACAUUUCUGUAAGAACUGUAAGAAAACAACAUUCCAACCAAGCCCUUCGGGGGUCAAACCACAGAAGGUUUAGUUUCAGUGUGGCAUUUGAUAAGUGUACUGGACUACGGUAUAUUUAAAAUGUGUUUGGUAACAGGAGAAGACUGUAACGAAAAACCUUGUCAAAAAUAACAGUGGAUUUUGUCCCAUGGGUUGUGUUUGGUUUUUUAAACCCAGGAAUGAGAAUCAAAAGCAUGUUUUAGAAAAAAAAUU